CCUACGGGAGGCAGCAGUGAGGAAUAUUGGUCAAUGGACGAAAGUCUGAACCAGCCAAGCAGCGUGAAGGAAGACGGCUCUAUGAGUUGUAAACUUCUUUUGUAAGGGAGCAAAGGCCGGGACGGGACUUGGUGUGAGAGUAUCGGAAGAAUAAGGAUCGGCUAACUCCGUGCCAGCAGCCGCGGUAAUACGGAGGAUGCGAGCGUUAUCCGGAUUUAUUGGGUUAAAAGGGUGCGUAGGCGGAGGCAAAAGUUAGCGGUAAAAUCGCGGGGCUAAACUCCGCACCGCCUUUGAAACCGUGUGGCUUGAGUGCGGGAGGGGUAGGCGGAAUGCAUGGUGUAGCGGUGAAAUGCUUAGAGAUCACGCAGAACACCGAUGGCGAAGGCAGCUUACC
This 394-nucleotide ribosomal RNA is filed under the name uncultured bacterium. Its description in RNAcentral is "partial 16S ribosomal RNA". It matches the Rfam family "Bacterial small subunit ribosomal RNA", at positions 338 to 730 of the family's 1533-position model. The record is from RNAcentral.